AAAAUUAGAGUGUUCAAAGCAGGCAGAUUCAAUUUUCUGCCACCGAAUACAUUAGCAUGGGAUAAUGGAAUAGGACCCUGUCCUCCUAUUUUCAGUUGGUUUUGGCAGCGCGAGGACUAGGGUAAUGAUUAAUAGGGAUAGUUGGGGGCAUUAAUAUUUAAUUGUCAGAGGUGAAAUUCUUGGAUUUAUGAAAGAUUAACUUCUGCGAAAGCAUCUGCCAAGGAUGUUUUCAUUAAUCAAGAACGAAAGUUAGGGGAUCGAAGACGAUCAGAUACCGUCGUAGUCUUAACCAUAAACGAUGCCGACCAGCGAUUAGGAGACGUUGAAUACAAAACACCACCAUCGGCGCGGUCGUCCUUGGCGCGUUCGUGUUCACGCACGGGCGCGCGAGGGCGGCUUAGCCCGGCCCCGG
RNAcentral lists this ribosomal RNA (412 nucleotides) under Acanthamoeba sp. RNAcentral describes it as "SSU rRNA". It matches the Rfam family "Eukaryotic small subunit ribosomal RNA", at positions 762 to 1117 of the family's 1831-position model. The record is from RNAcentral. Lineage: Eukaryota; Discosea; Longamoebia; Acanthamoebidae.